This is a non-coding RNA of Microcebus murinus (gray mouse lemur), 804 nucleotides long. NCBI's taxonomy places the organism in Eukaryota, Metazoa, Chordata, Mammalia, Primates, Cheirogaleidae. The record is from RefSeq and is a predicted model, not a curated record.
UGGGAGACACCCAGGAGCAACUAGAGACGGCCAGCAGGGUAGACCAGGCAACCUAGGGACACAGAUGCUAUGUCCAUUCUCUCCCUGCCUUGGCCGUGGCCCACCUGCCCUGGAGCACCCUCCCUCCUUCUCACUGUGCAUCCAGCUCACACUCAGAUCCCCGAGGCCUUGCUGAAGUUCUGGCCCUUUCCUUGAAGCCCAGCAGAGCAAAAUCACUGAUCUGUUCUCUGAGCCCACAAUUUAACAGGAACAGGACUCCCCAGGGGCCUUCAUAUGUGAGUGGGCGUUGGAAUCUGUAGCAAGAGAAGACCAUGGUUGCUGUUGGAAGGAAUCUUGAGUUUUCUCCAAAGGAAACCAGGUAGCUAAGACUCUCCUUCAGAACUCAGACCAGAUUCAUUUCUGGGUCAGUGAAGAUACAUCCUCUGGCUCAGGGUCUUUCCCAAGCUGCAAUCCGGAGUCAGCUAGGGCUCCAGUCAUCUCAAGCCUCACCCAGGGAAGGAUCUGCUUCUAAGUUCGCUCAAGUGGCUGUUGGCAGGCCAGAGACACCGGUGCCUUGCCACAUGGCCAUCUAUGUAGGAUUACUCAGAACAUGGCAGCUUCCUUCCCCCAGAGCGAGCUCCAAGAGGAAGGGUAGGAAAGAUGGAGAGAGAGAAGCAAGCCACCAGAUCCGGCCUACACUCAAGGGAAAGGAACCACUGGAAGUCAUCGUACAAGCUGCCUACCUAACAAGGAUACCAUAAAAGGUAGUGCUUCUCCAGCUAACUCCUAUGCAGGACCAACUUUUCUUUUUUUUCUUAAUUUUCA